CUCACUGUGUGGCAGAGUGAAGAAGGAUGAGUGUGACAUAAUGAUAGAAGAUGAGUGUGACAGGAUUAGGGGGUAAUAUGAUAAAGGUGAGUGUGGCAGAGCGAUGGCAGGUGUGUUAUGGUUGGACAGGGUGAAAGUGACAGGAAUAGGAAGGGUUAUUGUGAAUGUGGUUGGGUGAAGGGGGGUGUCAUUAUGUGGUGAUGGUGAC
Molecule: non-coding RNA, 208 nt
Organism: Pelobates cultripes (western spadefoot toad)
Lineage: Eukaryota; Metazoa; Chordata; Amphibia; Anura; Pelobatidae
Source: the annotation of a GenBank genome assembly